RNAcentral lists this ribosomal RNA (438 nucleotides) under uncultured bacterium. Its description in RNAcentral is "bacterial SSU rRNA". It matches the Rfam family "Bacterial small subunit ribosomal RNA", at positions 954 to 1392 of the family's 1533-position model. The record is from RNAcentral.
GCAUAACGCGAAGAACCUUACCCACCUUUGACAUGUACGGAAUCCUUUAGAGAUAGAGGAGUGCUCGAAAGAGAGCCGUAACACAGGUGCUGCAUGGCUGUCGUCAGCUCGUGUCGUGAGAUGUUGGGUUAAGUCCCGCAACGAGCGCAACCCUUGCCAUUAGUUGCUACGUUUAGUUGAGCACUCUAAUGGGACUGCCGGUGACAAACCGGAGGAAGGUGGGGAUGACGUCAAGUCCUCAUGGCCCUUAUAGGUGGGGCUACACACGUCAUACAAUGGCUGGUACAAAGGGUUGCCAACCCGCGAGGGGGAGCUAAUCCCAUAAAGCCAGUCGUAGUCCGGAUCGCAGUCUGCAACUCGACUGCGUGAAGUCGGAAUCGCUAGUAAUCGUGGAUCAGAAUGUCACGGUGAAUACGUUCCCGGGUCUUGUACACACCG